UCUAGCUUUUGAUGCAUGACUUGGAUAGUCAAAGCCAUCUCCUUUAGUUGUUCAUUCUGCUCCAGGUAGGGGUCAGCCAUCACACAUUGCAAAUUGCCUGGUGGACGACGAGGUAGAUACUUUUGUUUGUCAUUCUUCCUCUCUUCGUAGUGCUUUCCAUGAUAUGCCAGAAGAGCUUGAUGGGCAGCAUCAGAUAUGCUAGCAUGCUUACU
This 212-nucleotide long non-coding RNA is filed under the name Sorghum bicolor (sorghum). Its description in RNAcentral is "long non-coding RNA (SBIC_LNC017910)". The record is from RNAcentral. Lineage: Eukaryota; Viridiplantae; Streptophyta; Magnoliopsida; Poales; Poaceae.